UCCAGUAGUUUCCAUCCAUUGGGUCUCAUC
This 30-nucleotide non-coding RNA is filed under the name Homo sapiens (human). The record is from RNAcentral. Lineage: Eukaryota; Metazoa; Chordata; Mammalia; Primates; Hominidae.